This 465-nucleotide ribosomal RNA is filed under the name Vreelandella stevensii. RNAcentral's name for it is "partial 16S ribosomal RNA". It matches the Rfam family "Bacterial small subunit ribosomal RNA", at positions 338 to 795 of the family's 1533-position model. The record is from RNAcentral. Lineage: Bacteria; Pseudomonadati; Pseudomonadota; Gammaproteobacteria; Oceanospirillales; Halomonadaceae.
CCUACGGGGGGCUGCAGUGGGGAAUAUUGGACAAUGGGGGGAACCCUGAUCCAGCCAUGCCGCGUGUGUGAAGAAGGCCCUCUGGUUGUAAAGCACUUUCAGUGAGGAAGAACGCCUGGUGGUUAAUACCCAUCAGGAAAGACAUCACUCACAGAAGAAGCACCGGCUAACUCCGUGCCAGCAGCCGCGGUAAUACGGAGGGUGCGAGCGUUAAUCGGAAUUACUGGGCGUAAAGCGCGCGUAGGUGGCUUGAUAAGCCGGUUGUGAAAGCCCCGGGCUCAACCUGGGAACGGCAUCCGGAACUGUCAAGCUAGAGUGCAGGAGAGGAAGGUAGAAUUCCCGGUGUAGCGGUGAAAUGCGUAGAGAUCGGGAGGAAUACCAGUGGCGAAGGCGGCCUUCUGGACUAACACUGACACUGAGGUGCGAAAGCGUGGGUAGCAAACAGGAUUAGAUACCCCAGUAGUC